UUGAAAUACCGGUUCCCGAAGUUAAGCAACAUUGAGCCUGGUCAGUACUUAGAUGGACGACCGCUUGGGAAUAUCAGGUGCUGUAAG
Molecule: non-coding RNA, 87 nt
Organism: Acanthosepion pharaonis
Lineage: Eukaryota; Metazoa; Mollusca; Cephalopoda; Sepiida; Sepiidae
Source: the annotation of a GenBank genome assembly